Scylla paramamosain (green mud crab) is the source of this 382-nucleotide long non-coding RNA. RefSeq lists it as uncharacterized. The record is from RefSeq and is a predicted model, not a curated record. NCBI's taxonomy places the organism in Eukaryota, Metazoa, Arthropoda, Malacostraca, Decapoda, Portunidae. The transcript has 3 exons.
UCCUGCUGUCUCUGCACUUACCUCGCUGUGACGUCACAGUGUUUGUAAGGCUGUGUAAUGGUGGGCUUUGUGUUCGUUUCGCUCUCUUGUGUUUGGGGGUUAUUGCCACGCGCGUAUACGAGUGACAUAAUAUUGCGACGCUCCUGAGUGCCAGAUGAAGUAGUCUGGUCAGCAGUUUAUUGUGGCGUUUAGUGUGAGGGAGGUCGGUGGACAGCAAGUGGACACGGAAGUCCACACGAAAGGCGAUGACGAUCCCUGCCGCCCCUCGCCUCCCUCACCACGCCCCGGGAAUAUCGAGCUCCGACGCCCGCUUCCCUUUCCUCGUCUUUGUGGGUCGCUGGUCGUGUUGUGUGAAGUGCCGCCACGCCUCUCACACGGUAUG